RNAcentral lists this long non-coding RNA (1224 nucleotides) under Homo sapiens (human). RNAcentral describes it as "long non-coding RNA NONHSAT217479.1". Lineage: Eukaryota; Metazoa; Chordata; Mammalia; Primates; Hominidae. The record is from RNAcentral.
GUUGGACACCUUAAAGGAAGAGAAAGAGAACCUUCAAGGCUUGGUUACUCGUCAAACAUAUAUAAUCCAGGAGCUGGAAAAGCAAUUAAACAGAGCUACCACCAACAACAGUGUCCUUCAGAAGCAGCAACUGGAGCUGAUGGACACAGUCCACAACCUUGUCAAUCUUUGCACUAAAGAAGGUGUUUUACUAAAGGGAGGAAAAAGAGAGGAAGAGAAACCAUUUAGAGACUGUGCAGAUGUAUAUCAAGCUGGUUUUAAUAAAAGUGGAAUCUACACUAUUUAUAUUAAUAAUAUGCCAGAACCCAAAAAGGUGUUUUGCAAUAUGGAUGUCAAUGGGGGAGGUUGGACUGUAAUACAACAUCGUGAAGAUGGAAGUCUAGAUUUCCAAAGAGGCUGGAAGGAAUAUAAAAUGGGUUUUGGAAAUCCCUCCGGUGAAUAUUGGCUGGGGAAUGAGUUUAUUUUUGCCAUUACCAGUCAGAGGCAGUACAUGCUAAGAAUUGAGUUAAUGGACUGGGAAGGGAACCGAGCCUAUUCACAGUAUGACAGAUUCCACAUAGGAAAUGAAAAGCAAAACUAUAGGUUGUAUUUAAAAGGUCACACUGGGACAGCAGGAAAACAGAGCAGCCUGAUCUUACACGGUGCUGAUUUCAGCACUAAAGAUGCUGAUAAUGACAACUGUAUGUGCAAAUGUGCCCUCAUGUUAACAGGAGGAUGGUGGUUUGAUGCUUGUGGCCCCUCCAAUCUAAAUGGAAUGUUCUAUACUGCGGGACAAAACCAUGGAAAACUGAAUGGGAUAAAGUGGCACUACUUCAAAGGGCCCAGUUACUCCUUACGUUCCACAACUAUGAUGAUUCGACCUUUAGAUUUUUGAAAGCGCAAUGUCAGAAGCGAUUAUGAAAGCAACAAAGAAAUCCGGAGAAGCUGCCAGGUGAGAAACUGUUUGAAAACUUCAGAAGCAAACAAUAUUGUCUCCCUUCCAGCAAUAAGUGGUAGUUAUGUGAAGUCACCAAGGUUCUUGACCGUGAAUCUGGAGCCGUUUGAGUUCACAAGAGUCUCUACUUGGGGUGACAGUGCUCACGUGGCUCGACUAUAGAAAACUCCACUGACUGUCGGGCUUUAAAAAGGGAAGAAACUGCUGAGCUUGCUGUGCUUCAAACUACUACUGGACCUUAUUUUGGAACUAUGGUAGCCAGAUGAUAAAUAUGGUUAAUUUCAUGUAAA